Molecule: ribosomal RNA, 445 nt
Filed under: uncultured bacterium
Lineage: Bacteria
Description: bacterial SSU rRNA
Rfam family: Bacterial small subunit ribosomal RNA
Source: RNAcentral
GAGCGGAAAGGCCCUUCGGGGUACUCGAGCGGCGAACGGGUGAGUAACACGUGAGUAAUCUGCCCUUGACUCUGGGAUAGCUCCGGGUAAACCGGGUAUUAAUACCGGUAUAUGACCAUCUUAGGCAUCUUUGGUGGUGGAAAGUUUUUCGGUCAGGGAUGUGCUCGCGGCCUAUCAGCUUGUUGGUGGGGUAAUGGCCUACCAAGGCGACGACGGGUAGCCGGCCUGAGAGGGCGACCGGCCACACUGGGACUGAGACACGGCCCAGACUCCUACGGGAGGCAGCAGUGGGGAAUAUUGCGCAAUGGGGGAAACCCUGACGCAGCGACGCCGCGUGCGGGAUGAAGGCCUUCGGGUUGUAAACCGCUUUCAGCAGGGACGAAGCGAGAGUGACGGUACCUGCAGAAGAAGCGCCGGCUAACUACGUGCCAGCAGCCGCGGUAAU